Molecule: ribosomal RNA, 467 nt
Filed under: uncultured bacterium
Lineage: Bacteria
Description: partial 16S ribosomal RNA
Rfam family: Bacterial small subunit ribosomal RNA
Source: RNAcentral
GAUGAACGCUGACAGAAUGCUUAACACAUGCAAGUCAACUUGAAUUUGGGUUUUUAACUUAGGUUUGGGUGGCGGACGGGUGAGUAACGCGUAAAGAACUUGCCUCACAGCUAGGGACAACAUUUGGAAACGAAUGCUAAUACCUAAUAUUAUGAUAAUAGGGCAUCCUAUAAUUAUGAAAGCUAUAAGCGCUGUGAGAGAGCUUUGCGUCCCAUUAGCUAGUUGGAGAGGUAACGGCUCACCAAGGCGAUGAUGGGUAGCCGGCCUGAGAGGGUGAUCGGCCACAAGGGGACUGAGACACGGCCCGUACUCCUACGGGAGGCAGCAGUGGGGAAUAUUGGACAAUGGACCGAGAGUCUGAUCCAGCAAUUCUGUGUGCACGAUGAAGUUUUUCGGAAUGUAAAGUGCUUUCAGUUGGGAAGAAACAAAUGACGGUACCAACAGAAGAAGUGACGGCUAAAUACGUG